This 253-nucleotide ribosomal RNA is filed under the name uncultured bacterium. RNAcentral describes it as "partial 16S ribosomal RNA". It matches the Rfam family "Bacterial small subunit ribosomal RNA", at positions 524 to 776 of the family's 1533-position model. The record is from RNAcentral.
UACGUAGGCAGCGAGCGUUGUUCGGAAUUACUGGGCGUAAAGAGUGUGUAGGCGGUGCUCCCAGUCUGUUGUGAAAUCUCCCGGCUUAACUGGGAGGGUGCAGCGGAAACUAGAGUGCUAGAGGGUGGGAGAGGUAAGCGGAAUUCCUGGUGUAGCGGUGAAAUGCGUAGAUAUCAGGAGGAACACCGGUGGUGUAGACGGCUUUCUGGACCGUAACUGACGCUGAGGCGCGAAAGCGUGGGGAGCAAACGGG